AUUGAACGCUGGCGGCAGGCCUAACACAUGCAAGUCGAACGGAAACAGAAAGCAGCUUGGUGCUUUGCUGACGAGUGGCGGGCGGGUGAGAAAUGUCUGGGAAACUGCCUGAUGGAGGGGGAUAACUACUGGAAACGGUAGCUAAUACCGCAUAACUUCGCAAGCCCAAAGAGGGGGGCCUUCUGGCCUCUGGCCAGCGUGUAUUCCCAGAUGGGGUUAGCGAGUAGGGGGGGGUACGGCUCACCGGGGCGGCGAUCCCUAGCGGGUCUGAGAGGGUGAGCAGCCACCCUGGAACUGAGACCCGGUCCAGCCUCCUACGGGAGGCAGCAGUGGGGAAUAUUGCACAAUGGGCGCAAGCCUGAUGCAGCCAUGCCGCGUGUAUGAAGAAGGCCUUCGGGUUGUAAAGUACUUUUAGCGGGGAGGAAGGGAGUAAAGUUAAUACCUUUGCUCAUUGACGUUACCCGCAGAAGAAGCACCGGCUAACUCCGUG
This 490-nucleotide ribosomal RNA is filed under the name uncultured bacterium. RNAcentral describes it as "partial 16S ribosomal RNA". It matches the Rfam family "Bacterial small subunit ribosomal RNA", at positions 30 to 507 of the family's 1533-position model. The record is from RNAcentral.